AAUGUUGCAAAAUAUUAUUUGUAUAUUUCUAAUUUUUGUCACUUUCUUAUCUGAUGCAACUGCACCUCCUCCAUCUUUUGAGACCAAUUUCAGGGUACAUUUUAGAAGAGCAGUCUUAGACGAGAAAUUACAGAGCGUUUAGCAGUCGAGCAAUCUGCAUUUUAUGUCUGUGAUGAAUUCUUAAAAAUUGUUUUAUACUGACUACAAAAUAUUAUCGACUGUUUACAAAAAUCUUACAAGAAAAAAUCGCUGCGAGGUAAUAGUCUAGUGACGCAAAACAUUCCAUGUCCCAAAAUUUCAGAUAUCUAAUUUUUUGAAAUAUAAUAAAGAGACUUAUUUUCAUAAA
Drosophila innubila is the source of this 346-nucleotide long non-coding RNA. RefSeq lists it as uncharacterized. The transcript has 2 exons. Lineage: Eukaryota; Metazoa; Arthropoda; Insecta; Diptera; Drosophilidae. The record is from RefSeq and is a predicted model, not a curated record.